AUGGAAUCUCUCCCUCUGGUCU
Molecule: microRNA, 22 nt
Filed under: Mus musculus (house mouse)
Lineage: Eukaryota; Metazoa; Chordata; Mammalia; Rodentia; Muridae
Description: mmu-miR-12203-3p
Source: miRBase by way of RNAcentral